This 396-nucleotide ribosomal RNA is filed under the name uncultured bacterium. RNAcentral's name for it is "partial 16S ribosomal RNA". It matches the Rfam family "Bacterial small subunit ribosomal RNA", at positions 338 to 731 of the family's 1533-position model. The record is from RNAcentral.
CCUACGUGAGACAGCAGUGAGGAAUAUUGGUCAAUGGUCGCGAGCCUGAACCAGCCAAGUAGCGUGAAGGAUGACUGCCCUGCGGGUUGUAAACUUCUUUUAUCAAGGAAUAAAGUGAGGCACGUGUGCCUUUUUGUAUGUACUUUAUGAAUAAGGAUCGGCUAACUCCGUGCCAGCAGCCGCGGUAAUACGGAGGAUGCGAGCGUUAUCCGGAUUUAUUGGGUUUAAAGGGAGCGUAGAUGGGUUGUUAAGUCAGUUGUGAAAGUUUGCGGCUCAACCGGAAAACUGCAAUUGAUACUGGCAGUCUUGAGUACAGUUGAGGUAGGCGGAAUGCGUGGUGUAGCGGUGAAAUGCUUAGAUAUCACGAAGAACUCCGAUUGCGAAGGCAGCUUACUA